UGCGGUAAGAGCGCACCGCGUGAAUGGCAACAUCUCACGGCAUGGUAAACUCCACGCGUAGCAAGACCAAAUAGGCAUCGGCAUGGCGCGGCCCGCGUUCGAUGCGGGUAGGUUGCUUGAGCGUAUCAGCGAUGAUACGCCUAGAGGAAUGAUCGUCCACGACAGAACCCGGCUUAUCGGUUUACCAAACCU
RNAcentral lists this RNase P RNA (192 nucleotides) under Psychrobacter sp. RNAcentral describes it as "partial RNase P RNA component class A". It matches the Rfam family "Bacterial RNase P class A", at positions 163 to 367 of the family's 367-position model. From Rfam's summary of the family: Ribonuclease P (RNase P) is a ubiquitous endoribonuclease, found in archaea, bacteria and eukarya as well as chloroplasts and mitochondria. Its best characterised activity is the generation of mature 5'-ends of tRNAs by cleaving the 5'-leader elements of precursor-tRNAs. The record is from RNAcentral. Lineage: Bacteria; Pseudomonadati; Pseudomonadota; Gammaproteobacteria; Moraxellales; Moraxellaceae.